Molecule: ribosomal RNA, 468 nt
Filed under: uncultured bacterium
Lineage: Bacteria
Description: partial 16S ribosomal RNA
Rfam family: Bacterial small subunit ribosomal RNA
Source: RNAcentral
GAUGAACGCUGGCGGCGUGCUUAACACAUGCCAGUCGAACGGAAAGGCCCUGCUUUUGUGGGGUGCUCGAGUGGCGAACGGGUGAGUAACACGUGAGUAAACUGCCCUUGACUUUGGGAUAACUCCAGGAAACUGGGGCUAAUAUCGGAUAGGAGCUCCUGCUGCAUGGGGGUGGGUGGAAAGUUUCGGCGUUUGGGGAUCUUCUCGCGGCUUAUCAGCUUGUUUGUGGGGUAGUGGCUGACCAAGGCUUUGAAGGGUAGGCGGCCUGAGAGGGUGACCGGCCACAUUGGGACUGAGAUACGGCCCAGAAUCCUACGGGAGGCAGCAGUGGGGAAUCUUGCACAAUGGGCGGAAGCCUGAUGCAGCAACGCCGCGUGCGGGAUGACGGCCUUCGGGUUGUAAACCGCUUUCGCCUGUGACGAAGCGUGAGUGACGGUAAUGGGUAAAGAAGCACCGGCUAACUACGUG